Oncorhynchus tshawytscha (Chinook salmon) is the source of this 2150-nucleotide long non-coding RNA. The record is from Ensembl. Lineage: Eukaryota; Metazoa; Chordata; Actinopteri; Salmoniformes; Salmonidae.
UUUCGCAAUAUGCGAUGGCUGUUUCAGUCAUCAGGUCUCAACCCAAUUCAACACUUAUGGAAGAUUCUGGAGAAGCGCCAUCAACAAAACACCAAAUGGUGGAAUUUCUUGUGGAAGAAUGUCACAUCCUUCGAAUAGAGUUCUAGACACUUGUAGAAUAUAUGCCAAGGAGCACUAUAAAGAGAGAGGGAGUGGGAGAGAGAACAGGCAGAACCUGAUAUGUAAAUGAGUAAAGCAAAUGAAAGGAACUUUCGACGACCAAAUGAUCAUUCCAGACUCUGCUUCUGUUGAGAGAGAUAAAAGGGGUCAGUGCUCUAAAAUGAGUCUCUCAUUGGAACAUGACACCACAGCUAAGAGUUUCACCACAAUACCUACCUGUUUCAAUACAUGGAGGCAAUAUCCCUGAUGUUACCCGUGCACAUACAGAUCUCCUGCUUUUAGGUAGGUUAUACUUAAUGUCUCUCUCACACACAUUCACCCUUAACCAAACAAAAAGUUUUCACUUUGGGUUCAUGAUUAAUCUUCUUUUGCCAAAUAAUUUAUAAACAUAGCAAACAAAGUUGGUGAUAAGGCGUCGCCUAUCUGUACGAUAUUCAUUAACACGCACACAAGCAAUUGGUACUGUAACGGCAUUCUUCCUGGGAAGGAGAGGAGGACCAAAAUGCAGCGUGGUUAAAGUUCAUGGUUCUUUAAUAAGAGAAACUAAACAUGAACAAAAUAGAAAACAAUAAACGUGGCAAAACCGAAACAGUCCUAUCUGGUGCAGAGAACACAAAGACAGGAAACAACCACCCACAAAACCCAACACAAAACAGGCUACCUAAAUAUGGUUCCCAAUCAGAGACAAUGACUAAUACCUGCCUCUGAUUGAGAACCAUAUCAGGCCAUACAUAGAAAUAGACAAACUAGACACACAACAUAGAAUGCCCACCCAGCUCACGUCCUGACCAACACUAAAACAAGGAAAACACACAAGAACUAUGGUCAGAACGUGGCAGGUUUUUUGUAAAGAGACUGGAUUGCGUGAUACAAUUUCCCAUCAACGCCUGUAUUUAACAAACUAUAGGCUAAAAUAUCCUUAAACAAGUUAAAGGAAAUGCUACCAAAUACUAAUUGAGUGUAUGUUAACUUCUGACCUAUUGGGAAUGUGAUGAAAGAAAUAAAAGCUGAAAUCAAUCAUUCUCUCUACUAUUAUUCUGACAUUUAACAUUCUUAAAAUAAAGUGGUGUUCCUAACUGACGUAAGACAGGGAAUUUUUACGAGGAUUAAAUGUCAGGAAUUGUGAAAAAAUGUGUUUAAAUGUAUUUGGCUAAGGUGUAUGUAAACUUCCGACUUCAACUGUAUAAGAAUGUUCUAAAACUGUAUUGUCCAGUUUAGUUCUCAUGGAACAUAUAUCUUUAUAAAAGUUAUUCUUCAAAAUAUGCCGCAUUUUUGUUACCUGAGAACAAACUAGCAAACCCCUUCUCCCACUCCUUAAGAACCUGUGUAAUAUCAGAGUUCAGCCCCCCUGCUCUUCCCUGACUUCCAUUGGAAUUUUCUUACGUCGUUUUGGUCCUAACUUGUUUAUUUGGCUUCAAAACUGUUGAGGAUUUCUUGUCUGUAUCUCCUUAAAGUGUAGUAACUGCUCUCUCUGAUAUCUCCAUUUGAAUAGGAGCAGUCUUUUAUCAAACAUAUGCUGUUGUUUCUUAAAUUCAUUCCUAAAAUGUUCUCUUAUAUUCCUAUCUUUACACUGUAAUAAGUACACAGCCUUGCGCAAUACUGACCAUAGACCCCUAACUCAUCAUUCCAGUAAGGCGUGUUCGGCUUGUAAACUUUCCUGGACUUCGGGGCGUAUUCUUUAUUCGCAUCGUUGUUCCCCAUUUCAGAAUAUAUGAUAUCACAAAAUGUUUCAUAUCACACAUAUACAUUUAGAGGCGGCAGGUAGCCUAACUGUUAGAGCGUUGGGCCAGUAACCGAAAGGUUGCUGUUUCGAAUACCCGAGACGACAAUGUGAAAAAACCUGUUGAGGUGUCCUUGAGCAAGGCACUUAACCAUCAUUUUCUCCAGGGGCGCCGUACUACUAUGUCUGACCUGUAAGUAGGCUGUCAAUGUAAAUAAUAAUUUGUUCUUAUCUGACUUGCCUCUGUAAAUAAAAGUUUUUAAAAAUCAAA